GGUUGAUAGGCCGGGUAUGGAAGCGGGGACUGAAGACUCGUGGAGUUGACUGGUACUAAUAGGCCGAAGGCUUACUUUU
Molecule: ribosomal RNA, 79 nt
Filed under: Rothia mucilaginosa
Lineage: Bacteria; Bacillati; Actinomycetota; Actinomycetes; Micrococcales; Micrococcaceae
Description: partial 23S ribosomal RNA
Source: RNAcentral